Molecule: ribosomal RNA, 1207 nt
Filed under: metagenome
Description: bacterial SSU rRNA
Rfam family: Bacterial small subunit ribosomal RNA
Source: RNAcentral
CAUUUGAAAUUAAAAGCUCCGGCGGUUAAAGAUGAGUAUGCGUCUGAUUAGCUAGUUGGUGAGGUAACGGCUCACCAAGGCGACGAUCAGUAGGGGAUCUGAGAGGAUUAACCCCCACACGGAUACUGAGACACGGAUCCGACUCCUACGGGAGGCAGCAGUAAGGAAUAUUGGACAAUGCCCGCAAGGGUGAUCCAGCCAUGCCGCGUGCAGGAAGACGGCCCUAUGGGUUGUAAACUGCUUUUACACCGGAGAAAACCCCCCUACGUGUAGGGGGCUGAUAGUAUGGUGAGAAUAAGCAUCGGCUAACUUCGUGCCAGCAGCCGCGGUAAGACGAAGGAUGCAAGCGUUAUCCGGAUUCAUUGGGUUUAAAGGGAGCGUAGGUGGACUGAUAAGUCAGUGGUGAAAUCUCCGAGCUUAACUCGGAAAUUGCCAUUGAUACUGUUGGCCUUGAGUAUAGUUGCCGUUGGCGGAAUAUGACAUGUAGUGGUGAAAUACAUAGAGAUGUCAUAGAACACCGAUUGCGAAGGCAGCUGACGAAACUAUAACUGACACUGAGGCUCGAAAGUGUGGGGAUCAAACAGGAUUAGAUACCCUGGUAGUCCACACUGUAAACGAUGAUUACUCGCUGCUAGAGGGCAACUUUUAGUGGCUUAGCGAAAGCGAUAAGUAAUCCACCUGGGGAGUACGCCGGCAACGGUGAAACUCAAAGGAAUUGACGGGGGCCCGCACAAGCGGAGGAGCAUGUGGUUUAAUUCGAUGAUACGCGAGGAACCUUACCAGGGCUUGAAAGUUAGGGAAUAAGUCUGAAAGGAUUUAGUCAGCAAUGACCCGAAACUAGGUGCUGCAUGGCUGUCGUCAGCUCGUGCCGUGAGGUGUUGGGUUAAGUCCCGCAACGAGCGCAACCCCUACCAAUAGUUGCCAGCGGUUCGGCCGGGGACUCUAUUGGAACUGCCCGCGCAAGCGGUGAGGAAGGUGGGGAUGACGUCAAGUCAUCACGGCCCUUACGUCCUGGGCUACACACGUGCUACAAUGGCUAUUACAGAGGGCAGCUACAUGGUAACAAGCUGCUAAUCUCAAAAAUCCUAUCUCAGCUCGGAUUGAGGGCUGCAACUCGCCCUCAUGAAGCUGGAAUCGCUAGUAAUCGUAUAUCAGCAAUGAUACGGUGAAUACGUUCCCGGACCUUGUACACACCGCCCGUCAAGCC